GGGGGCCUACGGGGCGCAGCAGUCGGGAAUAUUGCGCAAUGGAGGAAACUCUGACGCAGUGACGCCGCGUAUAGGAAGAAGUUUUUCGGAAUGUAAACUAUUGUCGUUAGGGAAGAGAAAGGACAGUACCUAAGGAGGAAGCUCCGGCUAACUACGUGCCAGCAGCCGCGGUAAUACGUAUGGUGCAAGCGUUAUCCGGAUUUACUGGGUGUAAAGGGAGCGCAGGCGGUUCUGCAAGUCUGAUGUGAAAGCCCGGGGCUCAACCGCGGGACUGCAUUGGAAACUGCGGGACUGGAGUGUCGGGG
This 305-nucleotide ribosomal RNA is filed under the name uncultured bacterium. RNAcentral's name for it is "bacterial SSU rRNA". It matches the Rfam family "Bacterial small subunit ribosomal RNA", at positions 333 to 654 of the family's 1533-position model. The record is from RNAcentral.